RNAcentral lists this long non-coding RNA (493 nucleotides) under Taeniopygia guttata (zebra finch). RNAcentral's name for it is "lncRNA (ENSTGUG00000023534.1)". The record is from RNAcentral. Lineage: Eukaryota; Metazoa; Chordata; Aves; Passeriformes; Estrildidae.
CUCCACUGGGGCUGCUUUGACCUCAUUGCAGGCUACGAUGUAAGGUGCUGCUGUGACCUGCUCAUCUCCCACAGACCAGCCACGUGCAGUGCUGCUCUCUCGGUUUUCUGGAAACUGAGGAUAUGGCAGCAGGAUGUAGCACUGUAAGGAAUGUCUCAGACAGCAUCUCCAGUUGUUUGUUCACUUUGUGACAGGAGCACAAACCUUGUGAAUAUAACUUGGCUCCACAGGGAGGAGGGCUGGAAGGGAAUGGCAGGAGGUGGACAGAGUUGCUAGUUGUUUAUUUUAAGAGUUAAAGUAUUUUGAAAAGAAGGUCCCAUAUGAUCUCUACCAUGUAAUUCCAUGCCAUGGUCAGCAGCAUUUUAUAUAGGUAAGCCAAAACCAUAAUUUUUCACAAUCUUCUGUCAUCCCAAAUGAUAUUUAACGGUAAUUAUAUAUUUUUGCCUUUUCAUAUUGAGCUGAUAUGAAUACUUUUAUAUCUAUAGACAGCAUU